RNAcentral lists this non-coding RNA (30 nucleotides) under Rattus norvegicus (Norway rat). The record is from RNAcentral. Lineage: Eukaryota; Metazoa; Chordata; Mammalia; Rodentia; Muridae.
UCAUAUAUAUGUAUAUCCAGCCUGGGAAGC